GCGUGAGUGAUGAAGGCCUUCGGGUUGUAAAGCUCUUUCGCACGCGACGAUGAUGACGGUAGCGUGAGAAGAAGCCCCGGCUAACUUCGUGCCAGCAGCCGCGGUAAUACGAAGGGGGCUAGCGUUGUUCGGAAUUACUGGGCGUAAAGCGCACGCAGGCGGUUUGUCUAGUCAGGAGUGAAAGCCCGGGGCUUAACCCCGGAAUAGCUCUUGAUACUGGCAGACUUGAAUCACGGAGAGGGUAGUGGAAUUCCGAGUGUAGAGGUGAAAUUCGU
RNAcentral lists this ribosomal RNA (275 nucleotides) under uncultured bacterium. RNAcentral describes it as "partial 16S ribosomal RNA". It matches the Rfam family "Bacterial small subunit ribosomal RNA", at positions 399 to 691 of the family's 1533-position model. The record is from RNAcentral.